UGUUUGCACUUAUCGGGAAGGGUGAGAAUCUUCGACCAGGGUUCGAGUCGAGCGAAAGCGAGACAACGUUGCCGCAGGCAACGGCCCGAAGGGUGAGGAGCGAAGCGACGAAUAAUCCUUCCCCCACCACCA
RNAcentral lists this small RNA (132 nucleotides) under Klebsiella michiganensis. RNAcentral describes it as "RtT sRNA". It matches the Rfam family "RtT RNA". Rfam says of the family: This family represents a bacterial cis-regulatory element known as RtT RNA. The exact function of RtT is unknown although it is thought that it may be involved in changing the cellular response in relation to amino acid starvation. The record is from RNAcentral. Lineage: Bacteria; Pseudomonadati; Pseudomonadota; Gammaproteobacteria; Enterobacterales; Enterobacteriaceae.